GCACUGCUGAAGAGCCCCAAACUGGGACGAAACGGCCGUCCAGUAC
Non-coding RNA from Schistosoma margrebowiei, 46 nucleotides. The record is from Rfam. Lineage: Eukaryota; Metazoa; Platyhelminthes; Trematoda; Strigeidida; Schistosomatidae.